CUGGAGCGGCUCGGCUAUCGGCGCGGCUCGGCUCAAGGAAGAAAAACGGCUCGGGGGAGCGGCUUGGCGGCUUGGAUCGGCUCGGCUCGGCUCGGAGGGGGGCUGGCACGCGCGGGUCAGAAUCGGGUCGACGCUCGGGUCGGGUCGGGUUACGGCAAAACGCGCGGAUCCUCUGGGUUACUUAAGGCCAAAACGACGUCGUUUUGGGAGGGUAUAAAAGGCACCUUCCUCCGUUUUUCGGCAGAACGCUCCCCCCUCUCUCUCUCUUCUUCCCUUUUUCUCUCCCUUCUCUCUAGAAAAUGAAGAACACCGGUGCCGGAUUCUGGAAAAAUUCGCCGGAAUCUGGAAAUUUAGCCGGAAUUUCGCCG
Molecule: long non-coding RNA, 368 nt
Filed under: Durio zibethinus
Lineage: Eukaryota; Viridiplantae; Streptophyta; Magnoliopsida; Malvales; Malvaceae
Description: long non-coding RNA (DZIB_LNC001139)
Source: RNAcentral